This 345-nucleotide unclassified non-coding RNA is filed under the name soil metagenome. Its description in RNAcentral is "partial contains 5.8S ribosomal RNA, internal transcribed spacer 2, and large subunit ribosomal RNA". The stretch from base 1 to 120 matches the Rfam family "5.8S ribosomal RNA", at positions 35 to 154 of the family's 154-position model. The record is from RNAcentral.
GAUGAAGAACGCAGCGAAAUGCGAUACGUAAUGUGAAUUGCAGAAUUCAGUGAAUCAUCGAGUCUUUGAACGCACAUUGCGCCCCCUGGUAUUCCGGGGGGCAUGCCUGUCCGAGCGUCAUUGCUGCCCUCAAGCACGGCUUGUGUGUUGGGCCUCCGUCCUCCUCCCGGGGGACGGGCCCGAAAGGCAGCGGCGGCACCGCGUCCGGUCCUCGAGCGUAUGGGGCUUCGUCACCCGCUCUUGUAGGNCCGGCCGGCGCUUGCCGACACAUCAAUCUUUUUUCCAGGUUGACCUCGGAUCAGGUAGGGAUACCCGCUGAACUUAAGCAUAUCAAUAAGCGGAGGA